This 478-nucleotide ribosomal RNA is filed under the name uncultured bacterium. RNAcentral's name for it is "partial 16S ribosomal RNA". It matches the Rfam family "Bacterial small subunit ribosomal RNA", at positions 28 to 507 of the family's 1533-position model. The record is from RNAcentral.
GAUGAACGCUGGCGGCGUGCCUAACACAUGCAAGUCGAACGGAGUCCAGCCUUUAAGACCUUCGGGUCAAAGAGGGGAAGACUGAGUGGCGGACGGGUGAGUAACACGUGGGCAACCUGGCUCAUAGAGGGGGAUAACAGAGAGAAAUUUCUGCUAAUACCGCAUAAGCACACACUGCCGCAUGGCAGAGGGUGAAAAGAGAAUCGCUAUGAGAUGGACCCGCGUCUGAUUAGCCAGUUGGCAGGGUAAGAGCCUACCAAAGCGACGAUCAGUAGCCGAUCUGAGAGGAUGAACGGCCACAUUGGGACUGAGACACGGCCCAAACUCCUACGGGAGGCAGCAGUGGGGGAUAUUGCACAAUGGGGGGAACCCUGAUGCAGCGACGCCGCGUGAGUUAAGAAGUAUUUCGGUAUGUAAAGCUCUAUCAGCAGGGAAGAUAAUGACAGUACCUGAAUAAGAAGCCCCGGCUAACUACGUG